UCCAUCCUAUCUUCCGGUGAAUCCCCCUCCUCGAUUCUCGGGAUUCAGACUAAUGAUGCGGCCUUUCAGUUGUAAGGGAAUUUUCCUUGAAGGGUCUAUAUCAUGAGGUCAGAGUUUCUUUUAGUGGUAGUUUGCGAAAGGAGCCUGAACACAAAUCACUUUUGCAGUGCUUCAAAACUACCAUGAACGGUAUAAUCAAGCUGCUUGGGUUGCUUUGUGUCAUUGGACAUAUCUCCCACACACGAGGGUUCCCAUUAUUCUCUACACUGUGGGACAAUUAUCCGCUCGUGUCCAAGUAUUCUGGGCGCACGGCCAUGAUUGACGCAGCGGGGCUUGGGACCCACCUUUACGGCGCCAACACGUGCGCAAUUCGUCUCAGCUACGCGCUCAUUCACUCUGGUCAUGAAAUCAGUAUUGAAAAAGGGCAAUUCAACUGGUCUGAGGAGAGGGCGACACGUGCUACCGGUCGCUACAAGGAUGCCAAGUAUAUCAUACGAGUGGCAACCAUGCGAAAAUACCUGGAGAAAGUCCUAGGGCCGGCAAAGAUGUUAUCAAAAAACAAGUCUACUUACAAGGGUUCCAAGGGUAUAAUUGUGUUCCAGGACUGCCCAAAGUUUACCACUGCCACGGGUCACGUGGAUCUUUAUGACGGCAGUCGCUGCGUCAAUAAGUGCUUCUUUGAUCAGUGCAACAACAUUCAUUUGUUUCCUGAUGUACACAGGGAGCUAUAAUUCAAACAGUCAAAUAGAUAUUGUUUUUUUCGCUGUUAUUCAUCAUGUUCCAAUUUGUGUAGUCCAUUUGUAAUUUUCGAAAUUGGAAAAUUAACUGACAAAUAAAAAUGCUUACUACUGCGAGCAUCAUUUUUCAACAAUUAUUCCUUAAUGGUUAUUAGUUCCUUUUUUUGCCCCCAUGACAAAAAAUAGCAGCUACUCAUAGACAUAGAGUUUUAUAGUUUAUGCGCAAUGUGAAAAAUAUAGGGGCAUACUUCUAAGAAUUUUGAAUUGUAUUUCCUGCUAGAAGAGGCUUCUUUUCUCAGUAUGUUGCUGGUAAAGGCAGAUCAAUUAGAGGGUUUGAAAAAAAAACUCAUGCAAAGAGGGUACACACUUCCUAUAGUGGAAUAUCUAGGGAAAAUUGUAGUGAAAAAAAUAUAAUCCAUAUUCUUCUCAGGGUAAGAAAAUUCAGAACUGGCCGAAUCUCCCCUACGUCAAUCGCUCACAAAAUUCAUAUCCAAGAAUGGAUAAUGCCGUUACAAACCCUUAAAAAGGAAGCGAUUUCGACUGCCACAUUGAGGAGGUAAUUACUUUCAUUUUAUAUAAGGGGUCUUUACCUGAUCAACAUGCACGUUCUAAUUACCGGAAAAUAAAUAUUUCAUAAUGCGAUACAAUAAAGCUUUCCAAUUGAGGGUAUCUUUUAGCCUGACAUCACAUCUCACCAAUCAACGCUCAAAUUUUCCUUUCAAAAGGGGAAUCCCCUCGUUCGAUAUGCCCUUCAACGGCGUAUUGAAGACUGGAAACGGCAGUCAAACUCCAGAGGGGGAAGAAAGCAGAGAAGAAAAUCGCGGGUGGAAUAGAGAAAAGAACAUGGCAGGCUUCCCUUCAUUCUCUACACUGUGGGACAAUUAUCCGCUCGUGUCCAAGUAUUCUGGGCGCACGGCCAUGAUUAACGCAGCGGGGCUUGGGACCCACCUUUACGGCGCCAACACGUGCGCAAUUCGUCUCAGCUACGCGCUCAUUCACUCUGGUCAUGAAAUCAGUAUUGAAAAAGGGCAAUUCAACUGGUCUGAGGAGAGGGCGACACGUGCUACCGGUCGCUACAAGGAUGCCAAGUAUAUCAUACGAGUGGCGACCAUGCGACAAUACCUGGAGAGAGUCCUAGGGCCGGCACAGAUUGUAUCGAAAAAAGAGUCGGAUUUCAAGGGUUCCAAGGGUAUAAUUGUGUUCCAGGACUGCCCAAAGUUCACCUCUGCCACGGGUCACGUGGAUCUUUAUGACGGCAGUCGCUGCGUCAAUAAGGGCUUCUUUGAUCAGUGCAACACCAUUCGUCUGUUUAUCUUACCUUGAAUUGACUGCUAAAACGCUUGCCGCCAUAAUGCCGUAGAUUUUCCAAUCCACCUUUUUUUUUUGCUUGGUUAUGAUUUUAGAGGCAUUGUUCCUUGGUUCGUCGUGGUACUGCUCUCAUUUCUUUCUCUCUUUUUUUAUAUCUUUCUUUAUUUUGGUACUAUAACAUUGAAUAAAUAAAGAAAGCACUGAUUACUAUUAAAAGGAAACAAUCAACGUAGCCAAAGUGUAUUCCAAUGAAGCCGCAUUUCCAAUAAGUCGCGAAUGAUAUCUCAAGUCGUAUCCCCGAAUAAACCGCUCCAGCCUACGGGCAACGCGAAA
RNA transcript from Nematostella vectensis (starlet sea anemone), 2378 nucleotides. RefSeq lists it as uncharacterized. NCBI's taxonomy places the organism in Eukaryota, Metazoa, Cnidaria, Anthozoa, Actiniaria, Edwardsiidae. The transcript is spliced from 5 exons. The record is from RefSeq and is a predicted model, not a curated record.